UACAGAGGUGGCAAGCGUUGUUCGGAAUUACUGGGCGUAAAGAGCGCGCAGGCGGUCGUUCAAGUCGCGUGUGAAAGCCCCCGGCUCAACUGGGGAGGGUCACGCGAUACUGAUCGACUCGAAGGCAGGAGAGGGAAGUGGAAUUCCCGGUGUAGUGGUGAAAUGCGUAGAUAUCGAGAGGAACACCUGCGGCGAAGGCGGGUUGCUGGGCUGACACUGACGCUGAGGCGCGAAAGCCAGGGGAGCGAACGGG
Molecule: ribosomal RNA, 253 nt
Filed under: uncultured bacterium
Lineage: Bacteria
Description: partial 16S ribosomal RNA
Rfam family: Bacterial small subunit ribosomal RNA
Source: RNAcentral